Molecule: ribosomal RNA, 286 nt
Filed under: Pectobacterium sp.
Lineage: Bacteria; Pseudomonadati; Pseudomonadota; Gammaproteobacteria; Enterobacterales; Pectobacteriaceae
Description: partial 16S ribosomal RNA
Rfam family: Bacterial small subunit ribosomal RNA
Source: RNAcentral
AGCCACACUGGAACUGAGACACGGUCCAGACUCCUACGGGAGGCAGCAGUGGGGAAUAUUGCACAAUGGGCGCAAGCCUGAUGCAGCCAUGCCGCGUGUGUGAAGAAGGCCUUCGGGUUGUAAAGCACUUUCAGCGGGGAGGAAGGCAAUAAGGUUAAUAACUGCUAUUUGACGUUACCCGCAGAAGAAGCACCGGCUAACUCCGUGCCAGCAGCCGCGGUAAUACGGAGGGUGCAAGCGUUAAUCGGAAUGACUGGGCGUAAAGCGCACGCAGGCGGUCUGUUAA